AUUGAACGCUGGCGGCAUGCUUUACACAUGCAAGUCGAACGGCAGCGCGGGCUUCGGCCUUGCGGCGAGUGGCGAACGGGUGAGUAAUGCAUCGGAACGUGCCCAGUAGUGGGGGAUAGCCCGGCGAAAGCCGGAUUAAUACCGCAUACGACCUGAGGGUGAAAGCGGGGGACCGAAAGGCCUCGCGCUAUUGGAGCGGCCGAUGUCGGAUUAGCUAGUUGGUGGGGUAAAGGCUUACCAAGGCGACGAUCCGUAGCUGGUCUGAGAGGACGACCAGCCACACUGGGACUGAGACACGGCCCAGACUCCUACGGGAGGCAGCAGUGGGGAAUUUUGGACAAUGGGGGCAACCCUGAUCCAGCCAUGCCGCGUGCGAGAAGAAGGCCUUCGGGUUGUAAACCGCUUUUGUUCGGGAAGAAAUCCUCUGGGCUAAUACCCCGGGGGGAUGACGGUACCGGAAGAAUAAGCACCGGCUAACUACGUG
RNAcentral lists this ribosomal RNA (484 nucleotides) under uncultured bacterium. RNAcentral describes it as "partial 16S ribosomal RNA". It matches the Rfam family "Bacterial small subunit ribosomal RNA", at positions 29 to 507 of the family's 1533-position model. The record is from RNAcentral.